CCUAAACUAAGUGGACUAGUUCCUCUUCUUAUUAAAUGCCUUAAGAAGAAAUCUGACAGCAUGCUUAGAAAAGAAGUACUGCUAGAGUUUAAAAGUUUAUUAAAUUUUUUAUUACAAGUAAUUGCAUUCAAACAAAAAUAAAUGCAGAUAAUACAGAAGAGUAUAACAAACAAAGUGGAAGGUCUUCCUACCCACUUCCAAUUGUCAGAGCCUUUCAAUUCUUGGGGAUAUCUUUCUCACUUUUGAGGGCCUAUGGAUGCCCCCAAACUCUGUCUUCUGGUACUUCAAGCCAGCAAGACUAUGGGGUUUUUUUCCCUCCAUUUUAACCAUGUCAUCCUCACCCUCUGCCCCUGUAUGGCACAGACUUGAACCUGCUCUCAGGCUAAAAGCCAUAAAAAAUAAAACUCACCUAGCACUAUUCGCUUUUUUCUAAAUGCUGAUUCCCCUCCAGUAUCUGCCUGCCUUUGAUUGCUCCCAAGUACCUUUCAUUGUGGUUGUAUUUUACACUUUGCCCAGAGUUUACAGUUAUUUGUGGAAGUUAGUGUGCUAAGAGGUACAUAACCAUGAUCAGAAGUGGAUGCUCUCACUUGCAUGAGAAGGGCUGAUUUGAGGUUCUGUGUAAGGGUGGGAGUUGUAGCAUCAGGUGCUCAGUAGUGUUUGUGGGCAGGGAAGUGGUAUGUCAGCUAGGGACAUCUCAAAAAAUAAAAGGACUUUACUUUUGGCUAGGAUGAAUGUUUGUAUGUAUAUAUCUCAUGGGUGGAAUGACCUUGACUUUUAAAAAUUUUCCCUCAGUGUCUGUAACGUAAGUCCUGAAUUACCUCAACAUCUGCUCUGUUUCUCCUUCAGGGCACAGAAGCCACACUAGGAGCCUUCUCCAAAGAGGACCCUCUUUCCACAGAGAGCGCUCCUCCGGAUUCUACCUUGGUGGCAGCCACUCUGAUAUAUGGAGGAAGGAGCGGGAUGAGCAGCUGAUGGGGAAUGCAUUCUUGAGUUGCUUACCCCGACAAGUGCUCCACAGUUCCCCGAUGCUCUAUAUGAGGAGCCAAGCUCCAGCCUUCUCUGUGGCUCCCUCAGAAAGACACACGUUCAUCUCUGUUGGGAGACUGAGACCAAGUCAUGUGCCUACCGUCACAGAGCUGGAAGGUGGCAAGGAUGGGAU
RNAcentral lists this long non-coding RNA (1159 nucleotides) under Equus asinus (donkey). RNAcentral describes it as "lncRNA (ENSEASG00005035598.1)". The record is from RNAcentral. Lineage: Eukaryota; Metazoa; Chordata; Mammalia; Perissodactyla; Equidae.